GCUUGCUUCACUAACCAAUGCUCCGGAGUGCAUUAAAGCCAUCAUCUGCAGUGUACAUCCACGGUGUGCGGACUUCUUUUGAUGUUGUAUUAUUUA
Alosa sapidissima (American shad) is the source of this 96-nucleotide long non-coding RNA. RefSeq lists it as uncharacterized. The record is from RefSeq and is a predicted model, not a curated record. The transcript is spliced from 3 exons. NCBI's taxonomy places the organism in Eukaryota, Metazoa, Chordata, Actinopteri, Clupeiformes, Clupeidae.